CCAGAGGCCAGGAAGUAAGCUCUGCUAGUCAAGUAGAGGGGUUUUGGAGUUGUGAUAUUUCUCUCCACUCCAACGAAACAUCUGAGUGCUCCAACCUGGAAAGACCUUAUAAGAAAACAUUUUCAUAUAGAAAGCAUCUUGGUGACAAGUAUUUUGUGGAGUCGAAUCAAUUAAUAAAGAUUAACCACUCCAUCAAGAGGGAUGCCAUCUUGAAAAGAGGAUGAUCCAUCACAGAAACAUGUGUCAGUCCUCAUGCUCUAUGAUGAGGAUCCAAUUACAACUUUCUGUGUAUACCAACUGCUUUUACCCUUUGGCAAGUUUGGCAGUUUCCCUUGGAGAAGUGGUAACCAGUAGUAUACAGUGGUCAGCCAAAACUGUUGAAACAAUAGUAUUGAUUAUUCAUACAGCAGCAGGAAAAAAAUCACUAAAGAAAAAUGCAGUUCAAAACAGCAGCAGUUUACACGCAAGUCUCACUCAACUAAAGCCCAGGCAUCUAGUGAUGGCAACUGUCUUAACCAGCUACCUGCAGGUAGUUCCUUCUCCAGAGUUCAGUGAAAAUCAAAUGCUCAAGUACCCAAGUAACUCUUGAAAAUGAAUCACUAUGAAAUAUUCUACCCAAAACUGCUUUACUUUCCAUGCACUCACCCUCAGAAGAAGGUGUAGAAGCACCCGUCAGCUCUUGGACCACAUGUAGGAUGGGUGGAGCUCCAGAUGGAGGAAGCUCUGUUGCUGUUGGAAAAGAAAGUUUAAAACUGCAGGUAUUGAGGCUCAGAAACUCCAAGCAGAAGAACUCUUAAUUCCCAUAGAUCUGGAUGUCUGAAAUUUCUGUUCAUUCUUAAUGAAGUAGCUCUCCUGAAGCACAGUCCAAACUACAGGUGCAGAAACCUUGAUCUGAUAUUUGACCUGUCAGCACUGAACAAGAAUGAGAAUGUUCAUCAUGUUUCAAGAAUGUUCAUCUUUGAGAUGAAAGUAAAGUACCUCAGCUAGCUGGCCAACACUGAGUAGAGCAAAAGCUUAAUCUAGACAUCCUACCCUGCCAGAAGCUAGCCUAAUACCUUGAAAUACAAGAUUUACUUUAUUACCUUGCAUACUAGAUCCACACUGUAUAAUAAAUGAUCUUUUGAAGUCUUUCA
This is a long non-coding RNA of Struthio camelus australis, 1133 nucleotides long. The record is from Ensembl. NCBI's taxonomy places the organism in Eukaryota, Metazoa, Chordata, Aves, Struthioniformes, Struthionidae.